This 253-nucleotide ribosomal RNA is filed under the name uncultured bacterium. Its description in RNAcentral is "partial 16S ribosomal RNA". It matches the Rfam family "Bacterial small subunit ribosomal RNA", at positions 524 to 776 of the family's 1533-position model. The record is from RNAcentral.
UACAGAGGUCUCGAGCGUUGUUCGGAUUCAUUGGGCGUAAAGGGCACGUAGGCGGCGGGGUAAGUCUGGUGUGAAAUCUCGGAGCUCAACUCCGAAAUUGCACUGGAUACUGCUCUGCUAGAGGGCUGGAGAGGAGAUCGGAAUUCACGGUGUAGCAGUGAAAUGCGUAGAUAUCGUGAGGAAGACCAGUGGCGAAGGCGGAUCUCUGGACAGCUCCUGACGCUGAGGCGCGAAGGCUAGGGGAGCAAACGGG